This 27-nucleotide non-coding RNA is filed under the name Cricetulus griseus (Chinese hamster). Lineage: Eukaryota; Metazoa; Chordata; Mammalia; Rodentia; Cricetidae. The record is from RNAcentral.
AGGUGACUGGUUGCCUGUCAUUCCCAG